RNAcentral lists this microRNA (22 nucleotides) under Pongo abelii (Sumatran orangutan). RNAcentral's name for it is "Pab-Mir-4637_5p* (star (passenger))". RNAcentral also lists the same sequence under 1 other name. The record is from RNAcentral. Lineage: Eukaryota; Metazoa; Chordata; Mammalia; Primates; Hominidae.
ACUUGGAUCUGCAAUUAGUAUU